GUGGGGAAUCUUGCGCAAUGGGCGCAAGCCUGAUCCAGCCAUGCCGCGUGAGUGAUGAAGGCCCUAGGGUUGUAAAGCUCUUUCACCGGUGAAGAUAAUGACGGUAACCGGAGAAGAAGCCCCGGCUAACUUCGUGCCAGCAGCCGCGGUAAUACGAAGGGGGCUAGCGUUGUUCGGAAUUACUGGGCGUAAAGCGCACGUAGGCGGACAUUUAAGUCAGGGGUGAAAUCCCGGGGCUCAACCCCGGAACUGCCUUUGAUACUGGGUGUCUGGAGUAUGGAAGAGGUAAGUGGAAUUCCGAGUGUAGAGGUGAAAUUCGUAGAUAUUCGGAGGAACACCAGUGGCGAAGGCGGCUUACUGGUCCAUUACUGACGCUGAGGUGCGAAAGCGUGGGGAGCAAACAGGAUUAGAAACCCCUGUAGUC
RNAcentral lists this ribosomal RNA (424 nucleotides) under uncultured bacterium. Its description in RNAcentral is "bacterial SSU rRNA". It matches the Rfam family "Bacterial small subunit ribosomal RNA", at positions 354 to 795 of the family's 1533-position model. The record is from RNAcentral.